RNAcentral lists this ribosomal RNA (1372 nucleotides) under uncultured bacterium. Its description in RNAcentral is "bacterial SSU rRNA". It matches the Rfam family "Bacterial small subunit ribosomal RNA", at positions 28 to 1381 of the family's 1533-position model. The record is from RNAcentral.
GAUGAACGCUGGCGGCGUGCCUAAUACAUGCGAGUCGAGCGAACAGACAAGGAGCUUGCUCCUUUGACGUUAGCGGCGGACGGGUGAGUAACACGUGGGUAACCUACCUAUAAGACUGGGAUAACUUCGGGAAACCGGAGCUAAUACCGGAUAAUAUUUCGAACCGCAUGGUUCGAUAGUGAAAGAUGGUUUUGCUAUCACUUAUAGAUGGACCCGCGCCGUAUUAGCUAGUUGGUAAGGUAACGGCUUACCAAGGCGACGAUACGUAGCCGACCUGAGAGGGUGAUCGGCCACACUGGAACUGAGACACGGUCCAGACUCCUACGGGAGGCAGCAGUAGGGAAUCUUCCGCAAUGGGCGAAAGCCUGACGGAGCAACGCCGCGUGAGUGAUGAAGGUCUUCGGAUCGUAAAACUCUGUUAUUAGGGAAGAACAUACGUGUAAGUAACUAUGCACGUCUUGACGGUACCUAAUCAGAAAGCCACGGCUAACUACGUGCCAGCAGCCGCGGUAAUACGUAGGUGGCAAGCGUUAUCCGGAAUUAUUGGGCGUAAAGCGCGCGUAGGCGGUUUUUUAAGUCUGAUGUGAAAGCCCACGGCUCAACCGUGGAGGGUCAUUGGAAACUGGAAAACUUGAGUGCAGAAGAGGAAAGUGGAAUUCCAUGUGUAGCGGUGAAAUGCGCAGAGAUAUGGAGGAACACCAGUGGCGAAGGCGACUUUCUGGUCUGUAACUGACGCUGAUGUGCGAAAGCGUGGGGAUCAAACAGGAUUAGAUACCCUGGUAGUCCACGCCGUAAACGAUGAGUGCUAAGUGUUAGGGGGUUUCCGCCCCUUAGUGCUGCAGCUAACGCAUUAAGCACUCCGCCUGGGGAGUACGACCGCAAGGUUGAAACUCAAAGGAAUUGACGGGGACCCGCACAAGCGGUGGAGCAUGUGGUUUAAUUCGAAGCAACGCGAAGAACCUUACCAAAUCUUGACAUCCUUUGACAACUCUAGAGAUAGAGCCUUCCCCUUCGGGGGACAAAGUGACAGGUGGUGCAUGGUUGUCGUCAGCUCGUGUCGUGAGAUGUUGGGUUAAGUCCCGCAACGAGCGCAACCCUUAAGCUUAGUUGCCAUCAUUAAGUUGGGCACUCUAAGUUGACUGCCGGUGACAAACCGGAGGAAGGUGGGGAUGACGUCAAAUCAUCAUGCCCCUUAUGAUUUGGGCUACACACGUGCUACAAUGGACAAUACAAAGGGCAGCGAAACUGCGAGGUCAAGCAAAUCCCAUAAAGUUGUUCUCAGUUCGGAUUGUAGUCUGCAACUCGACUACAUGAAGCUGGAAUCGCUAGUAAUCGUAGAUCAGCAUGCUACGGUGAAUACGUUCCCGGGUCU